This 402-nucleotide ribosomal RNA is filed under the name uncultured Hyphomicrobiales bacterium. RNAcentral describes it as "uncultured Rhizobiales bacterium partial 16S ribosomal RNA". It matches the Rfam family "Bacterial small subunit ribosomal RNA", at positions 355 to 774 of the family's 1533-position model. The record is from RNAcentral. RNAcentral also lists the same sequence under 1 other name. Lineage: Bacteria; Pseudomonadati; Pseudomonadota; Alphaproteobacteria; Hyphomicrobiales.
UGGGGAAUAUUGGACAAUGGGCGCAAGCCUGAUCCAGCCAUGCCGCGUGGGUGAUGAAGGCCCUAGGGUUGUAAAGCCCUUUCGGCGGGGAAGAUAAUGACGGUACCCGCAGAAGAAGCCCCGGCUAACUUCGUGCCAGCAGCCGCGGUAAUACGAAGGGGGCUAGCGUUGCUCGGAAUCACUGGGCGUAAAGCGCACGUAGGCGGAUUGCUAAGUCAGGGGUGAAAUCCUGGAGCUCAACUCCAGAACUGCCUUUGAUACUGGCGAUCUUGAGUCCGGGAGAGGUGAGUGGAACUGCGAGUGUAGAGGUGAAAUUCGUAGAUAUUCGCAAGAACACCAGUGGCGAAGGCGGCUCACUGGCCCGGUACUGACGCUGAGGUGCGAAAGCGUGGGGAGCAAACA